This 164-nucleotide non-coding RNA is filed under the name Gongylonema pulchrum. Its description in RNAcentral is "Eukaryotic small subunit ribosomal RNA". It matches the Rfam family "Eukaryotic small subunit ribosomal RNA", at positions 1668 to 1823 of the family's 1831-position model. The record is from Rfam by way of RNAcentral. Lineage: Eukaryota; Metazoa; Nematoda; Chromadorea; Rhabditida; Gongylonematidae.
AUCGCCCGUUGCUGCCCGGUACUGAGCCUUUUCGAGAAAAACGGGAACCGCUAAUGUUUCAAUGCUUUUCGAGAUGGAGAUUCAUUUUUGGAAACCGCUUCAAUCGCAGUGGCUUGAACUGGGCAAAAAUUGUAACAAGCUUUCCGUAAGUGAACCUACGAACG